This 348-nucleotide ribosomal RNA is filed under the name uncultured Acidobacteriaceae bacterium. Its description in RNAcentral is "bacterial SSU rRNA". It matches the Rfam family "Bacterial small subunit ribosomal RNA", at positions 8 to 342 of the family's 1533-position model. The record is from RNAcentral. Lineage: Bacteria; Pseudomonadati; Acidobacteriota; Terriglobia; Terriglobales; Acidobacteriaceae.
AGAGUUUGAUCAUGGCUCAGAAUCAACGCUGGCGGCGUGCCUAACACAUGCAAGUCGAACGCGAAUGUGGAGCAAUCCACUAGUAGAGUGGCAAACGGGUGAGUAACGCGUGGGCGACCUGACCUUUGAGUGGGGGAUAACCUUCCGAAAGGAGGGCUAAUACCGCAUGACAUCCCGUGUUUAGAUACACGGACAUCAAAGUCGGGGAUCGUAAGACCUGGCGCUUGAAGAGGGGCCCGCGUCCGAUUAGCUAGUUGGUGAGGUAACGGCUCACCAAGGCUCCGAUCGGUAUCCGGCCUGAGAGGGCAGACGGACACACUGGAACUGAGACACGGAGCAGACUCCUAC